GGAAAACACACUGAGCGCCAGGCAGGUGAACACCAUCAGGAAUCUUUAGAAAAUGAUAAGUCAGAUCAUUUCGUGAACAAAUUAUUUUAGUUAUUUUAAAACACUAUUACUUUGAAGAUAUGGGCUUUUAAGUGUACUUACACCAUCACAUGGUAGAAGAUGGCGUGCAGGCCGCGCGGCCGCUCCAGGAAGUUGUACAGGCGACUCUGGAGGCGCCGGUAGCGAACAUCGCGGCGGGUGCCGCGGUUGUAGUUCAGCGGCUUUCCUAGGAGUGACAUUCGCGGUUGCAGGAUUCGUUCCGAGUUCGGCCUGCCCGGUCUACAUUUCCUGCAAUUCCAGAGUUUCAGGUGUACCCCUUGUACCCCCUUAUGUCGUAGAAGGCAUAUAUAUCGUUGUCCGGAUCCAUUCUGAUCUCAUUCCACCCCGCUGAGUUAUCGGAAAAUCUCGGCAAAUAUUUUUGACACUUCGGACACGUCUGGCUCCAACGACGAAUGAACCGCAACUCGAUCGUCGGGCGAGCGACGGCCGGUUAAAAAACCUUCCUUAACAACUAGACUUUGAAAACCCCAUGUGUAAAUUUUAUUAAUUAUCUACAUAAACAGUUUUUUCGUCCA
Molecule: long non-coding RNA, 614 nt
Organism: Drosophila teissieri
Lineage: Eukaryota; Metazoa; Arthropoda; Insecta; Diptera; Drosophilidae
Exons: 3
Source: RefSeq, a predicted model, not a curated record